Molecule: long non-coding RNA, 1082 nt
Organism: Drosophila teissieri
Lineage: Eukaryota; Metazoa; Arthropoda; Insecta; Diptera; Drosophilidae
Exons: 3
Source: RefSeq, a predicted model, not a curated record
CAAAACUGUUGAAAUCGGCUCAUGCGUUCUGGAGUUAUAAUCAUUCACCAAACUUGUUCUCAAUUUUUAUAUAUAUAGAUAUAUUGUUAGUAAUGUUACCGCCCAAGAGCAUCAAUUCGGAAACAAAUAUGCGCUGUGUCUGUCUCUGAAAUCAGCAUUAUUAAUAACAACUUUUUAGCUUUUAAAGUCAUUUUUCAACGAAUCUAUUAUACCUUUUUACUCUACAAUCAACAGCUACGAAAAUAAAAAGAUCUGCUAGAACCAGCCAGUAAAAUUAAAAUAUUAUUUCAAAAAUAACUUAUCUGUUUCCCAUUUUUUUCAGUUUAGACACUGUUACAGAUGUUUUAGAAUUCAUAAUUUUUGCACAGAUUUGCAAACAAAUUGAUCAAAAAUCUUUGAUUCUUUGAUUCACCCAUCUACUUUUACAUGCACUGAUACAAAUUAAUUGUAACCAAAUGGUUGUAAUUGUCUAGCAGACAGUAGAAAAUGUGUCUCGUAUUGAUUUAAAAGUUAUGUUACCAUCUAUUUUUGGAAAACCCGAAACAGUUGAUUCAUACAGCUUUCCCUCUGCCUCCUUGGUAAAUAACAAAUAAUUAACGUGAAUCACCAAACACUAUGGGAACAAUAAAACAUGUUUUAAAAGAAAAUGAAUAUCAAACAAGAACACAUCUUAACAAGUUGAUUUGACAGAGAAAGGAUCAAACCAGCGUGAAAACGUUUGUAUGCAGGCCGAGGAUGUAGACGACUGAGAUCUCGCUUUGUACUGCAAAUAUAUCUGCGAAUUUACAAGACUAAUAAAUAAAUGAAGAAGUAUAAAAACAUUUACUAAAAACAUCACUAGCAAAGUAGUGCGAAAGGUGGAAAGAAAGUCGUAAGCAAGGCUGCCCCUACUAUCUACGACGCACUGUAAAAAAGAAAUCGGUCCUUUUAGGCCCCAAAAUGAGAAUUUUACACGGAACCCCUUGGCGGCCUCCCGAAGUCGGCAGAGGUCGUGCGUGCCCAAGAACACCAAUAUCACUAUUAAAAAGAUCCAUUUUUGCAAAACCAAAACAGGCAUCAUCGUUUGCACACAAAGAGAAACA